RNAcentral lists this ribosomal RNA (910 nucleotides) under Bacillus siamensis. Its description in RNAcentral is "bacterial SSU rRNA". It matches the Rfam family "Bacterial small subunit ribosomal RNA", at positions 186 to 1089 of the family's 1533-position model. The record is from RNAcentral. Lineage: Bacteria; Bacillati; Bacillota; Bacilli; Caryophanales; Bacillaceae.
CCGCAUGGUUCAGACAUAAAAGGUGGCUUCGGCUACCACUUACAGAUGGACCCGCGGCGCAUUAGCUAGUUGGUGAGGUAACGGCUCACCAAGGCGACGAUGCGUAGCCGACCUGAGAGGGUGAUCGCCACACUGGGACUGAGACACGGCCCAGACUCCUACGGGAGGCAGCAGUAGGGAAUCUUCCGCAAUGGACGAAAGUCUGACGGAGCAACGCCGCGUGAGUGAUGAAGGUUUUCGGAUCGUAAAGCUCUUUGUUAGGGAAGAACAAGUGCCGUUCAAAUAGGGCGGCACCUUGACGGUACCUAACCAGAAAGCCACGGCUAACUACGUGCCAGCAGCCGCGGUAAUACGUAGGUGGCAAGCGUUGUCCGGAAUUAUGGGCGUAAAGGGCUCGCAGGCGGUUUCUUAAGUCUGAUGUGAAAGCCCCCGGCUCAACCGGGGAGGGUCAUUGGAAACUGGGGAACUUGAGUGCAGAAGAGGAGAGUGGAAUUCCACGUGUAGCGGUAAAUGCGUAGAGAUGUGGAGGAACACCAGUGGCGAAGGCGACUCUCUGGUCUGUAACUGACGCUGAGGAGCGAAAGCGUGGGGAGCGAACAGGAUUAGAUACCCUGGUAGUCCACGCCGUAAACGAUAGUGCUAAGUGUUAGGGGGUUUCCGCCCCUUAGUGCUGCAGCUAACGCAUAAGCACUCCGCCUGGGGAGUACGGUCGCAAGACUGAAACUCAAAGGAAUUGACGGGGGCCCGCACAAGCGGUGGAGCUGUGGUUUAAUUCGAAGCAACGCGAAGAACCUUACCAGGUCUUGACAUCCUCUGACAAUCCUAGAGAUAGACGUCCCCUUCGGGGGCAGAGUGACAGGUGGUGCAUGGUUGUCGUCAGCUCGUGUCGGAGAUGUUGGGUUAAGUCCCG